GUCUCUCCACCCCCUGCUGCUGCUGGGCUUGCGAUUGCCGCUCGCUCCAGCUGAGCUAAGAGUAGCAGCAGCACCAGGGCAGGGACUGACUCCAGCCCUUGGACUCAGGACAUCGCAGACCUUCCCUUGCGUGCGUGACUCAUUCGCACAUCAUUUCUGUUUAUGCCUGGGGUGGGGAGAAAAAUCCCAAACCAGAGAAGUCCAUAGUGAUAUGGGUGCGCGUUAGGCCUGUGAUGGUCUGCAUUGCAUUUGGCAGCAGAAUGGAAGAAGGACAGCCUCCAAGUGGGGAGGCAGGAGGAAGGCAGGGAAAACAAGCAGAACACAGCAGCUGCUGCCCAGCUACCAGAGUCUGGCCUUGGUGAAGGGAAGGGCAGAAGGCCAGGAGAGUAAAGGUAUGAGAAAUGUAAAGGAAGUUAAAUAUUCUGGACCUAAUGACCAAUUGAAUUGGUUUCCUUCAGCUUUCUUCUGAUCUGAAAACUUAGUACCUCAUUGUAUCUUUUUGUUUUCAGUCUGUUAAAUGCCUUUCUAAUUCCAACUAUGUUAUGCACUCUCCAUCUUUAAUACACAGUACUCGCCAUGCUCUUGGCUUAUGGCUACUGAAAUAGGCCUAAAAGUCAUCUACAGGUGUUAGGAACCUUGAUUGGUC
RNAcentral lists this long non-coding RNA (646 nucleotides) under Piliocolobus tephrosceles (Ugandan red Colobus). RNAcentral describes it as "lncRNA (ENSPTEG00000034255.1)". The record is from RNAcentral. Lineage: Eukaryota; Metazoa; Chordata; Mammalia; Primates; Cercopithecidae.